Molecule: microRNA precursor, 102 nt
Filed under: Canis lupus familiaris (dog)
Lineage: Eukaryota; Metazoa; Chordata; Mammalia; Carnivora; Canidae
Also listed under: 1 other name
Description: mir-8834 microRNA precursor family
Rfam family: mir-8834 microRNA precursor family
Source: Rfam by way of RNAcentral
AGGAACAACUGCUGUGGCGGGGCCAGCUCUGGAAACCUGGAUUCAGGCCCCACAUUCACUCCGGAGCUCUCUGUCUGCAGGGCCUGGAUGCUCUGGGGCGGG